Molecule: ribosomal RNA, 502 nt
Filed under: uncultured bacterium
Lineage: Bacteria
Description: partial 16S ribosomal RNA
Rfam family: Bacterial small subunit ribosomal RNA
Source: RNAcentral
AGCGAACGCUGGCGGCGUGCCUAACACAUGCAAGUCGAACGUGAAAGGGAGCAAUCCCAAGUAAAGUGGCGUACGGGUGAGUAACACGUAGGUAAUCUACCCCAGAAUCUGGAAUAACCGGCCGAAAGGCUGGCUAAUGCUGGAUAGAGCGACGGAAUCCGUAAUUGGGUUUUUCGGGAAAGGGAGCCUGUAAAAAGGCCUUCGUUCUGGGAUGAGCCUGCGUCCCAUCAGCUAGUUGGUGAGGUAAAAGCUUACCAAGGCAAUGACGGGUAGCUGGUCUGAGAGGACGAUCAGCCACCCUGGAACUGAAACACGGUCCAGACUAAUACGGGAGGCAGCAGUGGGGAGUCUUGCGCAAGGGAUGAAAGUCUGACGCAGCAACGCCGCGUGAGUGAAGAGGGCCUUCGGGUUGUAAAGCUCUGUCGAGUGGGACGAAAAUGCUUGGAGUUCAAAGCUCCAGGAACUGACGGUACCACUAAAGGAAGCAACGGCUAACUCCGGG